GAAAUGCGAUAAGUAAUGUGAAUUGCAGAAUUCCGUGAAUCAUCGAAUCUUUGAACGCACAUUGCGCCCUCUGGUAUUCCGGGGGCAUGCCUGUCCGAUCGUCAUUGCGAACCCCUCAAGCACGGCUUGUGUGAUGGGCCCUCCCGCGUCUUGGUCGUCAAGACGGGCCCGAAAUGCAGUGGCGGCUUCGCGGUUAUCCGAUCAGCCAGAGCGUAUGGGGACUCUCUCUCUUGUCACACGCCCGCGGCGCGGACCGACGCCUGUCGACCUUUAUUCAUCUUCUCUCGGUUGACCUCGGAUCAGGUAGGGAUACCCGCUGAACUUAAGC
Molecule: unclassified non-coding RNA, 328 nt
Filed under: plant metagenome
Description: partial contains 5.8S ribosomal RNA, internal transcribed spacer 2, and large subunit ribosomal RNA
Rfam family: 5.8S ribosomal RNA (bases 1-104)
Source: RNAcentral